UUGCUAAGACUGGAUAGGAAAUUAAAAGGCAUCUUUUAAUUUUUAAAAGACCUUUUUCGAAAGGUAUACUUAAAGAGGGGCUUGCGGCACAUUAGUUAGUUGGUAGGGUAAAAGCCUACCAAGACCAUGAUGUGUAGCUGGACUGAGAGGUUGAACAGCCACAUUGGGACUGAGACACGGCCCAAACUCCUACGGGAGGCAGCAGUAGGGAAUUUUCGGCAAUGGAGGAAACUCUGACCGAGCAACGCCGCGUGAACGAUGAAGUAUUUCGGUAUGUAAAGUUCUUUUAUUGAAGAAGAAAAAAUAGUGGAAAAACUAUCUUGACGAUAUUCAAUGAAUAAGCCCCGGCAAACUAUGUGCCAGCAGCCGCGGUAAUACAUAGGGGGCGAGCGUUAUCCGGAAUUAUUGGGCGUAAAGGGUGCGUAGGCGGUUUGACAAGUCUAUAGUUUAAUUUCAGUGCUUAACACUGUUCUGCUAUAGAAACUAUCAGACUAGAGUGAGAUAGAGGCAAGUGGAAUUCCAUGUGUAGCGGUAAAAUGCGUAAAUAUAUGGAGGAACACCAGAGGCGUAGGCGGCUUGCUGGGUCUUUACUGACGCUGAGGCACGAAAGCGUGGGGAGCAAACAGGAUUAGAUACCCUGGUAGUCCACGCCGUAAACGAUGAGUACUAAGUGUCGGGGAAACUCGGUACUGAAGUUAACACAUUAAGUACUCCGCCUGAGUAGUACGUACGCAAGUAUGAAACUUAAAGGAAUUGACGGGACUCCGCACAAGCGGUGGAUCAUGUUGUUUAAUUCGAAGAUACACGAAAAACCUUACCAGGUCUUGACAUACUCUGCAAAGCUAUAGCAAUAUAGUGGAGGUUAUCAGGGAUACAGGUGGUGCAUGGUUGUCGUCAGCUCGUGUCGUGAGAUGUUAGGUUAAGUCCUAAAACGAGCGCAACCCUUGUCACUAGUUGCCAGCAUGUUAUGAUGGGCACUUUAGUGAGACUGCCAAUGAAAAAUUGGAGGAAGGUGAGGAUCACGUCAAAUCAUCAUGCCCCUUAUGAUCUGGGCUACAAACGUGAUACAAUGGCUGUUACAAAGAGUAGCUAAAACGCGAGUUUAUAGCCAAUCUCAUAAAAGCAGUCUCAGUUCGGAUUGAAGUCUGCAACUCGACUUCAUGAAGUUGGAAUCGCUAGUAAUCGCGAAUCAGCAUGUCGCGGUGAAUACGUUCUCGGGGUUUGUACACACCGCCCGUCAAACCACGAAAGUUGGUAAUACUCGAAAACGGUAGCCUAACUUUUUCGGAAGAGGGAACCGUCUAAGGUAGGAUCGAUGAUUGGGGUUAAGUCGUAACAAG
RNAcentral lists this ribosomal RNA (1340 nucleotides) under Lychee phytoplasma. RNAcentral's name for it is "bacterial SSU rRNA". It matches the Rfam family "Bacterial small subunit ribosomal RNA", at positions 160 to 1495 of the family's 1533-position model. Lineage: Bacteria; Bacillati; Mycoplasmatota; Mollicutes; Acholeplasmatales; Acholeplasmataceae. The record is from RNAcentral.